GACGAACGCUGGCGGCGUGCCUAAUACAUGCAAGUAGGACGCACAGUCUAUACCGUAGCUUGCUACACCAUAGGCUGUGAGUUGCGAACGGGUGAGUAACGCGUAGGUAACCUGCCUAUUAGAGGGGGAUAACUAUUGGAAACGAUAGCUAAUACCGCAUAACAGUAUGUAACACAUGUUAGAUGCUUGAAAGAUGCAAUUGCAUCGCUAGUAGAUGGACCUGCGUUGUAUUAGCUAGUAGGUAGGGUAAUGGCCUACCUAGGCGACGAUACAUAGCCGUCCUGAGAGGGUGAUCGGCCACACUGGGACUGAGACACGGCCCAGACUCCUACGGGAGGCAGCAGUAGGGAAUCUUCGGCAAUGGGGGGAACCCUGACCGAGCAACGCCGCGUGAGUGAAGAAGGUUUUCGGAUCGUAAAGCUCUGUUGUUAAGGAAGAACGAGUGUGAGAAUGGAAAGUUCAUACUGUGACGGUACUUAACCAGAAAGGGACGGCUAACUACGUG
This 505-nucleotide ribosomal RNA is filed under the name uncultured bacterium. Its description in RNAcentral is "partial 16S ribosomal RNA". It matches the Rfam family "Bacterial small subunit ribosomal RNA", at positions 28 to 507 of the family's 1533-position model. The record is from RNAcentral.